Molecule: ribosomal RNA, 468 nt
Filed under: uncultured bacterium
Lineage: Bacteria
Description: partial 16S ribosomal RNA
Rfam family: Bacterial small subunit ribosomal RNA
Source: RNAcentral
GACGAACGCUGGCGGCGUGCUUAACACAUGCAAGUCGAACGGAAAGGCCCUGCUUUUGUGGGGUGCUCGAGUGGCGAACGGGUGAGUAACACGUGAGUAACCUGCCCUUGACUUUGGGAUAACUUCAGGAAACUGGGGCUAAUACCGGAUAGGAGCUCCUGCUGCAUGGUGGGGGUUGGAAAGUUUCGGCGGUUGGGGAUGGACUCGCGGCUUAUCAGCUUGUUGGUGGGGUAGUGGCUUACCAAGGCUUUGACGGGUAGCCGGCCUGAGAGGGUGACCGGCCACAUUGGGACUGAGAUAAGGCCCAGCCUCGUACGGGAGGCAGCGGUGGGGAAUAUUGCACAACGGGAUGAAGCCUGAUGCGACAACGCCGCGUGCGGGAUGACGGCCUUCGGGUUGUAAACCGCUUUCGCCUGUGACGAAGCGUGAGUGACGGUAAUGGGUAAAGAAGCACCGGCUAACUACGUG